Molecule: transfer-messenger RNA, 348 nt
Filed under: Aquificaceae
Lineage: Bacteria; Pseudomonadati; Aquificota; Aquificia; Aquificales
Also listed under: 2 other names
Description: Aquifex sp003978875 Standard tmRNA
Rfam family: transfer-messenger RNA
About the family: Bacterial tmRNA, also known as 10Sa RNA or SsrA, is named for its dual tRNA and mRNA-like properties.
Source: RNAcentral
GGGGGCGAAAGGAUUCGACGGGGACUGGCGGUCCCCGAGGAGCAGGCCGGGUGGCUCCCGUAACAGCCACCGAAACACUUCCCGAAGCUGAACUCGCUCUCGCUGCCUAAUUAACAGGCAGCGCGUCCCCGGAGGGUUUGCGGGUGGCUCUCCGGAGGGCGUCAGAGACACCCGCUCGGGCUACUCGGUUGCACGGGACUGGGUAGCCGACACCUUCAGCCCGUGCUACCUUCGGGGAGCUUGCCCGUGGGCGACCCGAAGGGAAACCCAAAACACGGGCUAAGCCUGUAGAGCCUCGGAUGUGGCCGCCGUCCUCGGACGCGGGUUCGAUUCCCGCCGCCUCCACCA